GACGAACGCUGGCGGCGUGCUUAACACAUGCAAGUCGAACGGAAAGGCCCUGCUUUUGUGGGGUGCUCGAGUGGCGAACGGGGGAGUUACACGUGAGUAACCUGCCCUUGACUUUGGGAUAACUUCAUGAAACUUGGGCUAAUACCGGCUAGGAGCUCCUGCUGCAUGGUGGGGGUGGGAAAGUUUCGGCUGUUGGGGAUGGACUCGCGGCUUAUCAGCUUGUUGGGUGGGUAGUGGCUUAGCAAGGCCUUGACGGGUAGCCGGGCUGAGAGGGUGACCGGCCACACUGGGACUGAGCUACGGCCCAGACUCCUACGGGAGGCAGCAGUGGGGAAUAGUGCACAAUGGGCGGAAGCCUGAUGCAGCACCGCCGCGUGCGGGAUGACGGCCUUCGGGUUGUAUACCACUUUCGCCUGUGACGAAGCGUGAGUGACGGUAAUGGGUAAAGAAGCACCGGCUAACUACGUG
RNAcentral lists this ribosomal RNA (468 nucleotides) under uncultured bacterium. RNAcentral's name for it is "partial 16S ribosomal RNA". It matches the Rfam family "Bacterial small subunit ribosomal RNA", at positions 28 to 507 of the family's 1533-position model. The record is from RNAcentral.